AGUGAACGCUGGCGGUAGGCCUAACACAUGCAAGUCGAACGGCAGCACAGGAGAGCUUGCUCUCUGGGUGGCGAGUGGCGGACGGGUGAGGAAUACAUCGGAAUCUACUCUGUCGUGGGGGAUAACGUAGGGAAACUUACGCUAAUACCGCAUACGACCUACGGGUGAAAGCAGGGGACCUUCGGGCCUUGCGCGAUUGAAUGAGCCGAUGUCGGAUUAGCUAGUUGGCGGGGUAAAGACCCACCAAGGCGACGAUCCGUAGCUGGUCUGAGAGGAUGAUCAGCCACACUGGAACUGAGACACGGUCCAGCGUCCUACGGGAGGCAGCAGUGGGGAAUAUUGGACAAUGGGCGCAAGCCUGAUCCAGCCAUACCGCGUGGGUGGAGAAGGCCUUCGGGUUGUAAAGCCCUUUUGUUGGGAAAGAAAUCCAGCUGGCUAAUACCCGGUUGGGAUGACGGUACCCAAAGAAUAAGCACCGGCUAACUUCGUGCCAGCCGCCGCCGUAA
This 506-nucleotide ribosomal RNA is filed under the name uncultured bacterium. RNAcentral's name for it is "partial 16S ribosomal RNA". It matches the Rfam family "Bacterial small subunit ribosomal RNA", at positions 29 to 523 of the family's 1533-position model. The record is from RNAcentral.